Molecule: ribosomal RNA, 972 nt
Filed under: uncultured archaeon
Lineage: Archaea
Description: bacterial SSU rRNA
Rfam family: Archaeal small subunit ribosomal RNA
Source: RNAcentral
ACUGCUCAGUAACACGUGGACAACCUGCCCUUAGGUUGGGUAUAAACCCGGGAAACUGGGUAUAAUACCCGAUAGGUCUCGAUUGCUGGAAUGCAUCGAGAUUUAAAGCUCCGGCGCCUAAGGAUGGGUCUGCGGCCUAUCAGGUGGUAGUGGGUGUAGCGUACCUACUAGCCUACGACGGGUACGGGUUGUGAGAGCAAGAGCCCGGAGAUGGAUUCUGAGACACGAAUCCAGGCCCUACGGGGUGCAGCAGGCGCGAAAACUUUACAAUGCUGGCAACAGCGAUAAGGGAACCUCGAGUGCCAGGUUACAAAUCUGGCUGUCGAGAUGCCUAAAAAGCAUUUCAUAGCAAGGGCCGGGCAAGACCGGUGCCAGCCGCCGCGGUAACACCGGCGGCUCGAGUGGUAACCGUUAUUAUUGGGUCUAAAGGGUCUGUAGCCGGCCGGAUAAGUCUCUUGAGAAAUCUGGCAGCUUAACUGUCAGGCUUUCAGGAGAUACUGUCUGGCUCGAGGCCGGGAGAGGUGAGAGGUAUUUCAGGGGUAGGGGUGAAAUCUUGUAAUCCUUGAAGGACCACCAGUGGCGAAGGCGUCUCACCAGAACGGACCUGACGGCAAGGGACGAAAGCUAGGGGCACGAACCGGAUUAGAUACCCGGGUAGUCCUAGCCGUAAACGAUACUCGCUAGGUGUCGGCCACGGUGCGACCGUUGUCGGUGCCGUAGGGAAGCCGUGAAGCGAGCCACCUGGGAAGUACGGCCGCAAGGCUGAAACUUAAAGGAAUUGGCGGGGGAGCACCACAACGGGUGGAGCUUGCGGUUUAAUUGGAUUCAACGCCGGAAAUCUUACCGGGACCGACAGCAAUAUGAAGGCCAGGCUGAAGACUUUGCCGGAUUAGCUGAGAGGUGGUGCAUGGCCGUCGUCAGUUCGUACUGUGAAGCAUCCUGUUAAGUCAGGCAACGAGCGAGACCCGUACC